UCUACGGAGAGUUUGAUUCUGGCUCAGAACGAACGCUGGCGGCGUGGAUAAGACAUGCAAGUCGAACGGGAUAUUAGUAGCAAUACUAAUGUCCAGUGGCGUAAGGGUGCGUAACACGUGGGUAACCUGCCGAAAAGUGGGGGAUAGCUCGCCGAAAGGCGAAUUAAUACCGCAUAACACAUUUGUUAAAGCCGGGGCAACCUGGCGCUUUUUGAGGGGCCCGCGGCCUAUCAGCUAGUUGGUGAGGUAUCGGCUUACCAAGGCUAUGACGGGUAGCUGGUCUGAGAGGACGACCAGCCACACUGGAACUGAGACACGGUCCAGACACCUACGGGUGGCAGCAGUCGAGAAUUUUUCUCAAUGGGGGAAACCCUGAAGGAGCGACGCCGCGUGGAGGAUGAAGGUCUUCGGAUUGUAAACUCCUGUCAUUGAAGAACAAAAUAGGUAAGUUAACUGCUUAUCUAUCGAUAGUAUUCGAAGAGGAAGGGACGGCUAACUCUGUGCCAGCAGCCGCGGUAAUACAGAGGUCCCAAGCGUUGUUCGGAUUCAUUGGGCGUAAAGGGAGCGUAGGUGGUCGGGUAAGUCAGAUGUCAAAUUUCGACGCUCAACGUCGAACCGCAUUUGAUACUGCCUGGCUAGAGGAAUUGAGAGGAGGCCGGAAUUCACGGUGUAGCAGUGAAAUGCGUAGAUAUCGUGAGGAAGACCAACGGCGAAAGCAGGCCUCUGGAAAUCUCCUGACACUGAGGCUCGAAGGCCAGGGGAGCAAACGGGAUUAGAUACCCCGGUAGUCCUGGCAGUAAACGGUGCACGUUUGGUGUGGGAGGAUUCGACCCCUUCCGUGCUGAAGCUAACGCGUUAAACGUGCCGCCUGAGAAGUACGGUCGCAAGAUUAAAACUCAAAGAAAUUGACGGGGGCCCGCACAAGCGGUGGAGUAUGUGGCUUAAUUCGAUGCAACGCGAAGAACCUUACCUGGCCUUGACAUGCAGGAGACCGGGGGUGAAAGCCCCCUUUUCGCAAGAACUGCUGCACAGGUGCUGCAUGGCUGUCGUCAGCUCGUGUCGUGAGAUGUUGGGUUAAGUCCCGCAACGAGCGCAACCCUUGUGAACUGUUGCCGAGGUUAAUACCGAGGCUCUCUGUUCAGACUGCCCUGUGAAACGGGGAGGAAGGUGGGGAUGACGUCAAGUCAGCAUGGCCCUUACGGCCAGGGCUGCACACGUACUACAAUGCCCAGUACAGAACGAUCCAAAACCGCGAGGUGGAGGAAAUCCUGAAAACUGGGCCCAGUUCGGAUUGGAGGCUGCAACUCGCCUCCAUGAAGCCGGAAUCGCUAGUAAUGGCGCAUCAGCUACGGCGCCGUGAAUACGUUCCCGGGCCUUGUACACACCGCCCGUCACAUCAUGGAAGUCUCUUGUUCCCGAAGUCAAAUGGUCAACCGCAAGGAAACCAUUGCCUAAGGAAUGAGCGGUAACUGGGAUGAAGUCGUAACAAGGUAGCCGUAGGGGAACCUGCGGCUGGAUCACCUCCUUU
Molecule: ribosomal RNA, 1528 nt
Filed under: Verrucomicrobia bacterium SCGC AG-212-E04
Lineage: Bacteria; Pseudomonadati; Verrucomicrobiota
Description: Bacterial small subunit ribosomal RNA
Rfam family: Bacterial small subunit ribosomal RNA
Source: Rfam by way of RNAcentral